RNAcentral lists this ribosomal RNA (407 nucleotides) under uncultured bacterium. RNAcentral describes it as "partial 16S ribosomal RNA". It matches the Rfam family "Bacterial small subunit ribosomal RNA", at positions 28 to 526 of the family's 1533-position model. The record is from RNAcentral.
GACGAACGCUGGCGGCGUGCCUAAUACAUGCAAGUAGAACGCAGUUGCGAACGGGCGAGUAACUCGUAGGUAACUUCCUGGUAGCGGGGGGUAACUAUUGGAAACGAUAGCUAAUACCGCAUACUACCAGAUGGACAUGCGUUUUAUUAGGUAGUUGGUGGGGUAACGGCGCAACAAGGCAACGAUACAUAGCCGACAUGGGAGGGUUGUCGGCCACACGGGGAAUGGGAAACGGCCCAGACUCCUACGGGAGGCAGCAGGAGGGAAUCUUCGGACAUGGACGGAAGGCUGACCGAGCAACGCCGCGUGAGUGAAGAAGGUUUUCGGAUCGUAAAGCUCUGUUGUGAGAGAAGCGGUAUCUUACCAGAAAGGGACGGCUAACUACGUGCCAGCAGCCGCGGUAAUAC